GAAAUGCGAUAAGUAAUGUGAAUUGCAGAAUUCAGUGAAUCAUCGAAUCUUUGAACGCACCUUGCGCCCUUUGGCUAUUCUGAAGGGCAUGCCUGUUUGAGUAUCAUGAACACCUCAACUCUCAUGGUCUGCCAUGAUGAGCUUGGACUUUGGGGGUCUUGCUGGCCUAUCGUCAGCUCCUCUCAAAUGGAUCAGCUUCCCAGUGUUUGGUGGCGUCACAGGUGUGAUAACUAUCUACGCUUGUGGCUUUCUGCCAUUAACCUUCAGCAAUGGAGGUUCGCUGGAGCUCACAGAUGUCUCUCCUUGGCGAGGACAGCUUUUUGAACAUCUGAUCUCAAAUCAGGUAGGACUACCCGCUGAACUUAA
RNAcentral lists this unclassified non-coding RNA (366 nucleotides) under uncultured Thelephoraceae. RNAcentral describes it as "sequence contains ITS1". The stretch from base 1 to 106 matches the Rfam family "5.8S ribosomal RNA", at positions 50 to 154 of the family's 154-position model. The record is from RNAcentral. Lineage: Eukaryota; Fungi; Basidiomycota; Agaricomycetes; Thelephorales; Thelephoraceae.